GUACAAAGGUAGCAUAAUCAUUAGUUUUUUAAUUGAAAACUGGAAUGAAUGGUUGGAUGAAAUAUAAACUGUUUCAAAAAAAAAUUUAUUAUAAUUUUAUUUUUUAGUAAAAAAGCUAAAAUAUAUUUAAAAGACGAGAAGACCCUAUAAAUCUUAAUAUAAAAUAUAUAUAUUAAUUUUUUUUUAGAAGAUUAUAAAGUAUUUAUAUUUUAUAUUUUAUUGGGGAGAUAGUAAAAUUUAAUAAACUUUUAUUUAAUAAUUACAUUAAUUUAUGAAUUUUUGAUUAAUUAAUAAUGAAUAAUAAAAUAAGUUACUUUAGGGAUAACAGCGUAAUUAUUUUGGAGAGUUCAUAUUGAUAAAAUAGAUUGCGACCUCGAUGUUGGAUUAAGAAAAAAGUUAGGUGUA
RNAcentral lists this ribosomal RNA (405 nucleotides) under Nycteribia schmidlii. RNAcentral describes it as "partial 16S ribosomal RNA". The record is from RNAcentral. Lineage: Eukaryota; Metazoa; Arthropoda; Insecta; Diptera; Nycteribiidae.